Molecule: non-coding RNA, 28523 nt
Organism: Lactuca sativa (garden lettuce)
Lineage: Eukaryota; Viridiplantae; Streptophyta; Magnoliopsida; Asterales; Asteraceae
Source: RefSeq, a predicted model, not a curated record
UUUAAACAAUUUUUUAUAUUGUUUCAAUGCUUUAUCAUUCUUGAUUUCUUAGUAUAGCUUCUACAUCAAACUACUUUGAGAAUUGAAACUAGGUUUUAAAUUCAAUUCAAAAUUUACUUUAAACCCUAACUGCAGUCGAUCGGUUAGUUUAGCUUUGUUUCUACCCUAACAUACCUAUAAUCAGGUUGUAUUUAUGUUGAGGUGAGAAGAAAUAGUGUGGCAGUUAAACAACUUGCUCCUUCAUACUUUUUUGUUUCCUAAUCCAUUAUAUGGUCUAGAAGUUUUUUUAAGUACUUGUUCUUUUCUGAAGCAAUUGUAUUGUGUGAACUGUUGUGGUUCUCUGGUUUGGGGUUAUACCUAUAUCCGAUUUAUCUGGUCCUCGUAUUGGGUUUGUUUCCUAUGGUUCCCUAUUGGUCCAGAGUAUUGCUUAGAGAAUUGUUUGUUCAAUAUAUGUUCCCUUAGUAGCGCAUUUUUUAUUUUAGACUUGGCUUCCCUAAGUCAUUGUCUUCAUUAUUACCUUAUUUGUUUGGGCUCUGUUCUCUCGGAAACUUCUUCUUAUGUGUAUUCUUUUCUAUUCCAAAGCAACCAACAUGAGCGUGUCUAACUUUGCUCAUGCUCUAGUAAGUUUCUCUUUUCUUUCUAGUGUAGCAAGUGCAUCCUGCAGGCAUGAGCCUGACUAUGUGCUUGGCCUAUAGUUGAGGUAGUUUUUUAGUGUUAUUGCUUUACUUUGAGUCUGUCAGUUUUUUUAGGAACUCUUUAAUUUUUCCAUCUUCAUGUACUUUCAUAGUCUUCAAUUAACAUAGAGUUUUGUGGAAGUACUAGAUGAUGGUGGGGGAUUUGGUUUGGUGUUCCAAAAUUUUGAAGUCUAUUGAUUCUCUUGUCUUUGCAUAUGUUUUUUUAUUGAUACAUGGUUGUGUCCGACUUAGUUUCCAUCAAUGCAACUCAUUUGUUUGGAUAAUACAUUUGUUCUUCAAUCAAAUGAUUUAAAUAAUAGUUUCAUUUUUUUACAACUAAAACAAAAUUCACAUCUGCGGUUUUUGGAAUCUCCUUACCUGGUACAUUUAUUAAGAAAAAAAUAUUUUUUGUUCUCUACUUUAAGGGCUCUUUAUCUUUGUUAUUACCAACUAGCAUUAAUGAUUGAACAUAGGAUUUCUGUAAGUCUUCUUUCUCACUUCACUCUGUAGCAAGAUUGAUAGGUCAUUAUUUUAUGGUUUGGGCUAGGAAAUUAUAUGUAUAAGUCUUAUUAAAGUUCAUGGUCAUGUUAGCUUAUUUUUCUGAGUUUACGGUUGUGUUUAUGUGUACGGUCGUAAACAAGUUUACGGCCGUAUACCUAUUUACCGCCAACAACCUCCCUAUAUAUAGGGUGUGUCAGAGUCGUGUCAGAGUUGUUGACGAAUCAAAGGGUGUCUCUUAUAGUUUACGGCCCAAGUGUAACCAAGGUGUAUUUGACGUUUAUUUGAUAUAAAACGUGUGCAUGCUUGAAUUAAUCUGUCUUCUACUCCAUUCUCUAUUUGUUCGAUUGAUAUAUGUUUGAUCACUGUUCGGAUUCUUAGUUUUAGGGACCUUACAAUUGGUAUCAGAGUAGUCUGGUGUCAAAACGGAUUUUCAGUCGUAUUCACAGUUAAACUAUUUUCAACUUAUUCAUUGAUCAAGGCUCGAUUCUACGUCUUCAUAGCUAAAGGGAUUAAAUUUGCUGGAAAAUCUUGUGUUUUAUCUCUUCUGGAAGUUUUCGGAUCAAUACUGUUAAAGGGAGUACGGUCGUAAACUCUUUCUACAGCCAUAAACAGCUGAUCUGCGAAGACCAUAAACUGUCCAUACUCUAAGACCGUAAACUGUCAGGACCGGAAACUUGUGUACGACCGUAAACAAGCUUCCGACCGUAAACUCCUUCAGCUGCAAACUGAUUACGACCGUAAACUCUUGGCCGUAAACAGUCUAAUUAAUUUAACUUUUGGUUCUUCAAGUUAAUAAUAUAAAUUAAUUAAAUAAAAUUAGAAAAUUAAAAAUAGAUUCACAAAAUUCUCAUCAUUAACUUGAUUCUGUUAUGGGCACUACCACUCGCAUACCCCGUCUGCUGUCUGCUGAGGGGAUUCCAGAAUGGAAGUAUUGUUUGGAGAAAUACAUCAAGAUGAAAGAUUUCAAAAUUUGGAGAUGUAUUUUGAAAGGCCCCCAUCAGAAUCACUACCACACUUCCAGAUAAAAAAAUUGUCAACAAAGCUAUUGAAGAAUACACUGAUGAAGAAUUCGAUAAGAUUGAACAGCAGGAAAGAGCACUUGCUACCCUUACUAUGGCCCUUUCUCCUGAAAUUGCCCAGGGUUUUGGGAAUACAAAUAUGCAAAAGCUCUGUGGGAAGCCUUGAUAGAGGUGUAUGAAGGAAAUGAGAACAUGAAACAGAGCCGUCAAGACACGUUGAGAUUGGAAUUCAACAUGUUUAAUCAUGUUCUUGGAGAAACUCUGGAAGCUUAGCUUCAACGCUUUAUCACACUCACCACUGAAAUGAGUUCAGCUGGUAUCUUUGUGCCAAGGUCAGAAAUGAGUUCAUACUUGGGAUAUGAAUGUAGCUAUCAUCAAGAAAACAAAAGACCUUAAUCGACUUAGUUUGGCUCAAAUCAUGGCCAUCAUUAAAGCUUGUGAUCUGGAUGACAAACAAAGAGAGAUCAAUCACAUUAAUUCCUAUUCUUUUGCCAAUCUUGGAAUUCAGUCAAAAUAUGCUUUCUCAUCUUUCACCAAUCCUCAAGUUCCACCAUUUGUUGUUCCUCAGUCAUCAUUUGUUACUCCUCAGUCAUCUUUUGUUGCUCAAUCAUCAUUUACUGCUCCCCAACCUUAUCCCCAAGUUGCUUCUUCUUCAAAGACAAACGUUCCAGUUCCUACACAAAUUCAUGUUUCCAAAGAGAAUGAAGAGAACUUGGCUCUUGCAACUGGUCUGGUUAACUGUUAUAAUGCUUUUGUGGCAGGUGAACUGCCUCCUCAGUCGUCAUUUGCUGAUUUGGAUCAAAUUCACCCUGAAGAUGUGGAGGAAAUGGAUAUAACCUGGCAAAUUACUAUGGCGGUAUUCCGUGCAAAACAGUUCUCCAAGAAGACUGGCAAGAGUAACUGGGGAAUGAAUGCAAAGAAGAAAAUAGGAUUCAACAAAACUAAGCUCCGUUGUUUUAACUGUCAUGAACCUGAUAAUUUUGCCAGAAAAUGCCUAAAGCCUGAUAUAAGAGAAAAUCAUGAAAGAACGAUGGUGUCAGUUGGCAACAACAGGCAAGCUACAACCAGCAAUCAAACUGCGAAUCUAGUUGUGGUAGCACAGUCAUUUGAUUGGGAUGACCAAAUUCAAGCCUUGGACAUCUCAGGACCUGAAAAUGCGCAUCUUGCUCAAAUCAACGACAUUACCAAAGGAGAAGUUGAGAUAGAUCCAGAGGAGGAGAUGAUGAAUCUUCAGUUUGCAUUCAUGGUUCAAAAUACACCAGAACUUGAAAAUUUUGAGGUCAGUGAAGUCUCUUGUUCUCCUUCUUGCAUUAAAACUAUAAAUUUUUUGCGUGAACAAGCUGAUUUAAUGCGAAGAGAAAUUGAGGAACUUAAGUAUGAGGGAUACCAACUAAGAAACGGCCAAAAACCAAUUAGAGGCCAAAACAAAGGACUAUAAGAAAUUAUAAUCAGAUUAUACUGACAAGUGUGUUCAUUAUAGAUAUCUUAAAAUGGAUUUUGAUGUUGUAACUGCUGAGCUUGAAACAUUGAAGACUCGUUUUGCAAAUGCUGAAUUUAACUUUAAAAAAUUCGAUGCGUCAAGUGAAAAGGUUGCAACAAAACUGAACACCAAAUGAGAUGGAAGGACCAGAAACAAGUAGGAAUAAGUUAUGAGAGUGUCCCUCCCCUUUUCAAUCACAAUUAUAUUACUUCUCCAUUGACUCAAACUGAGAUUUAUCGUGAACCAUUUAUGGUUUAUGGUAAAUCAGCUGCUGAACAAGCAACAGAUUGUAGUGCUAGGAAUUUAGAUACUAAGGUUUCUACUUCCGAUGCAGAUUCGCCAGUAAGCCAAGAAAAGCAGGAGAAUGGAGGAAUUGAAUCUAAUAAUAAUUAUGUGUCAAAAUUUGGUGUCCCUUUUUCAAAAGAUGAUGAACUUGUUUUUUAUGUUAAGACUGAUGUUUUGCUUAGUGAUAAUGUGGUGUCAAACAUUAAUACUUCUGAUAAUUGUGGUGUUAUUUUUGUAAAUUCUACUAAAUCUGAAUUUGUCACUAGCACUUCCACAUCAUCCAUGCUUGUCACACCACCUGAAUCAUACACCUGCACUUGUGGAAAUAGUGGGAAGGUCAAUAAGAGCGUGAAAAUUGUUAAAGGCAGUACCAAGUCUUCUGAAAAUAAAAAAAAUUGUUUUAACUGUGGUACUGCCGGUCAUAUUGCUUGAAAUUGUUCCAACCGAAUGUUUGUGCAUUUUUCAACACCGAGGAAAGAAAAUGAGUCUCGAGGAAGGUCUUUAACUAGAAAGUCCUCGAGAUCUCGUCUUCGUGAAGAUGAUUGGAAAAUUCAUAAUAAUAAGAAAAGGGCAAAUCCUAAACCGAACAAACAGGUUUUAUAUAAAUCUGCUACAGGUGCUUUGCCGAAAUCGACUAUGGCUGAGCCAAGGUCAAUUUCGUCAAAGGGUGCGUCUGGAUCUUCGACUACUCGUAGCCAAAAAUCUAAGUGCUCAAAGAAGAAGAAAACUAUUCCUAAUUCACCUGUAAAUAUUUCAAAACCUAAUUACAAAUCGGUGCCCAAAUCUAAAUUGCCUAAUCAUCGUCUUCCUUUGAAAAUGUAUCUAAUGUAAAGUUGAAAAAUCAAAAAGAUAAAUCUGUAAACAUCAAGCGUAGACCCAGGACUGUAAUGUCAUUGGUUCCCAAAUCUAAAUAAAUCUCGCUCAUUGUGCAGGAACAACUGCGGAGGAAUGUCGCCGGACCUUGGUAUGCCGACAGCGAUUGUUCCAGGCACAUGACAUGAGACAUCUCCCAAGUGAACAACGUUCAGAAUUUUAAUGGGGGAUAUGUUUCCUUUGUGGGAGGAGAUGGUGGCAAAAUCACUCAGAAAGGAACUGUUUCAAAAGGAGUGCUGAGUUUUGAGAAUGUCAACUAUGUGCCCGAGCUAAAGAAUAGUUUGUUAAGCGUCUCUCAGAUCUGUGACAAGGGCUAUUCAACACAUUUCACAGAUAAAGAAUGUCUAAUUCUGAAGCCUGGCAUUCUUAUCCCAGAUGAGUGGAUCCUUGUUAAAUCAAAACGGGAUGGCAAUGCAUACAUUAUUGACAUGAUAAUGACUAGUUCGUCUGUCUAGGCAUUCUAACGAACGCCAGAAUCGAUCUUAAGAACUUGUCACCCUAGACUGGCCGAGUCUAACUGUAGCAAACAAUUGAGGUGUGGGGGAGUCACCCCCGUAUAGAUCUAUAAACAAACUCUCGCUCUCCCUCCAGGAGACUUUGAUUAUAACUAAAGACUACAAACGACCCAUAGAGGUGGGCCUAAUAAACGAGGAGAAGAGGAUUACAAAGUCCUACUAAUCCCACGUAUUAUUUAUGGCUAUUGGGUAUACGAAGGGCACGUUGGCCCAUUUCGCAUUUGAUUUAUUUGGACCUUACUAGCAAUGCGAAUGGGCCACUAAGGCUCAAUGGCACUUGAAAUCCAUUGAGGGUCCCUUAAAUAUGAAAUUGGGUCAUAGAAGACCCAAUAACAUUUAUUAUUAUCAUUUGGGCCCAAAAGUCAUGUUAAUGGGUCACAAAGGCCAAUAAGCAUGAUUAGGAACUUUCAAGCCCAAAGAUUUGAAUAUUUAUUUGUUUUAAGUAUUGUAUAAUUGUCGGAAAGAUUGAUUUUUAGAUUCGUAACGGCACGAGGCCGAUCGGUUGUUUAUAACGAUAUUUAUAAUUAUAUGUAUAUUCGUCUUUCUAUUUUCGUAAGUUGUAAAUUUGGUAUUUUUGACUCAAUAUCUUAAAAAUAAAAUAAUUGACUCAAAAAUAUUGGUUUGAACCCCUUUCAGCCCUUCUUUAGUAAAAAUGACAAUUUUAGUCCUUUAUAUAAAAAAAGACAUUUUAAGCCCUUAAACCAUUUUCUUGACACUUUUGACCCAUAGACUUGUUCAAGUGAUAUUUUUAGCUCAAAAUUUAUUCUUUGGCAGUUUCAGCCCUUCCAGAAAAGUGUUUUUCGGUUAAAGCCCAAACUUUUUGCAACUUUUACAAUUUUGGCCCAAAAUCCAAAAACUUUACAUUUUGGAUCCUUGUUUGGAAAAAUGUCAUUUUAACCCCUGAAUUAGUUUUUUUUACCCUUUUUCCCCUUGUUUUUAGAAUUUUACCAUUUCAACCCCUUGAAAAACACCUUUUUCGCAAUUUUGUCCCUAAAGGCCGAAAAGCCCAAAGUUUAGCCCAUUAGGCUAAAAUUUACACUUUUAGUCCUUUAAAAAUCAAGAUUGUUAAAAUAACUCAUAUUUUAACUGAUUUGACCUUUUUGACCCCUAUAAAACCGUAAUUGACAUUUAUUUCCCAUCUUUUGCUUAUUUGUCAAAAAUGGUUCAUAAUUUGGAUUUGUGUUUUGUUUUGUUUAUUUGAACUUGUAUAAUACUUUGGUCUUGAUAAUAACAUGUUUUAAGAUGUCUUAGAACAUAUAUUUCCUAAUCACGGUUAAGGAUCUCGGCUAGAUCUUGAUUUUUCACACAUAUUUAUCAAAUAAAUUCAAAGAAUGAUACAUAUCUCACAAAAACACAUAGACCUACACAUUUUACUUGUAUUCUCCCCCAUAAAUCUUGUAAAAACCAAAAAUAUAGGGGUAUGAACUCACCUUUUCUUGUGGAUCUCGGUUUUUGAAGAAGAAAUGAAAGAAAAUGGUGAGAUCUUUCGGCCUAGCAAGCUUCUUGGAAGGUCUUUGGCUUAGAUGUGUUCAAAGAAGCAAGAUCAUGAAUUUUGUAUGAGUUAAGGGAGAUUUUUGAGGUAAUCAAGAAGUUAAAGUAUGGAUCAAACAACAACUUACCAAGGAUUAAUAAUAUUAGGGAAAGAUCUUCUUGGAGCCUUUGUGAUUUUCAAAAUUUUGGAGGAAAAGUGAAGGUAUUCUAGAGAGAGUUUGAAGAAACUUUGAAAUGGUGAUGGGGGUGUGUAUGUGUGUCUCGGCUGAAUUAAAAGGAGGGAAGAGAGGAGAGAGUGAGUUGAGUUGACAUGCAUGGGAACAUGAGAAGAGUGCAUGUAUACCCCAUGUAUAAUUAUGAGGUGGCACCAUUAAAAGUCAACUGUUUUCCCCCUUGUUUUGUAGUUGGGCUGAGAUAGGUAGAAAGGAAUGAAAGACUUGGGCCUUUUGUGUUUGAAUCCAUAAUAUGAGGCCUAACUUGAUGAUUUUCGGCCCAUUGGGCCUUUAGAGUAAUUCACGGCCCAAAGUUAGCAUAAAGGAAUGGUUUUGAGUUCAUUAAAGCUACUUGGAUUUGUUAUGGCUUAAUAAGGCCCAUUAUAGCUAAACUAAUCCAUUUUAGAUGCAUUAUGGCCCAAAAUGUUAUGUUUCAUGAAAGUGGGUCCAAUUCGGGCUUAUUUAAGAGUUCUAAGUCCAAAAUAGUCAAAUUGGAAGCUUAUUGGCCCAUUACACCCAAUAAGGAAAUCCUAGUCCAUAAUGGACUUAACCCGGGUUUUUCUAGGGUUUCCAAUUCUUUGUUGACUAUUUAAAGUUUUGUAUAGGCUAUUUGAUGGAAUUUUGUUGUCAUUGAAUAAACACCAUACAUAUUUCCAAGUUUCAGUUACAUUGUCGUUCUUUGUUACGUGUUUACAAUGUAUUAGAAUUCCUAGUUGUGACAUCAUCCCCCCGUUAGAGGGAAUUUUGUCCCGAAAUUCUUUUUAAGCUAGAUUUGAGAAUGCGAGAAUAUGUGAGGGUACUUCUGCUUCAUCUGGUCUUCGCGUUCCCAUGUGAAUUCUGGUCCAUGCUUCGCGUUCCACCAAACUUUCACAAUCGGAAUACGCCUUUGCUUAGUACGCUUCACCUCCCUGUCCAUGAUUUCGACUGGUUCUUCGAGGAACAGGAGAUUAUCGUUGAUUUCGAUUUCUUCAAGUGGAAUGACGAGGGUUUCAUCGGAUAAACACUUUUUCAAAUUGGAAACAUGGAACACGAGGUGUACACUGCUGAGCUCGGCAGGUAGUUGUAGUCUAUAGGCCACUGGACCGAUUUGAGCAAGAAUCUCGAAGGGUCCAAUGUAUCGUGGGUUUAUUUUUCCCCAUUUCCCAAAAUGAAUCACCCCUUUCCAGGGAGAUACUUUUAACAACACCCGAUCCCCGACUUGAAAUUCCAAGGGCUUUUGCCGUUUAUCAACGCAGCUCUUCUGUCGGUCCCGUGAUGCUUAUAGUCGAGCUUUGAUAUGAAUUAUUUUCUCUAUUGUUUCGCGUAUGAUCUCCGGUCCCGUUAAUGCAUUACUUGAUGCCUGUCUUCCUACUAGCUGAGUAUCACCUACCUCAGCCCAACACAACAAUGAUCUGCAUUUACGCCCGUAUAGUGCCUCGAAAGGAGCAACUUUGAUGUUUGAGUGAUAACUAUUGUUGUAUGAGAAUUCGAUUAAAGGAAAGUGAGUAUCCCACGACUUUCCAAAGUCUAUCACACAUUCACGAAGCAUAUCUUCGAGAGCUUGAAUGGUUCUCUCACUUUAACCAUCCGUUUGUGGAUGAUAAGCAGUGCUCAUGUCUAGAUGUGUUCCCAUAGCCUUUUGAAGUGAUUGCCAAAAAUGCGAAGUGGAUCUACUAUCUCGGUCGAAGAUGAUAGAUAUUGGCACUCCAUGAAGUCUCACCACUUCUUUUAUGUAUAUCCUGGUCAACCUCUCCAUCUUGUAGGAUUCUUUUAUUGGCAGGAAAUGAGUAGAUUUCGUUAAUUUGUCGACUAUUACCCAUAUGGUAUCAAUCCAUCUGUUGACUUGGAUAAUUUGGUCACAAAACCCAUAGUAAUCCUUUCCUAUUUCCACUUGGGAAUUACUGGUUGUUGUAGUAAUCCUGAGGGCUUCUGGAAUUCCACCUUCACUUUAGUGCAAGUAAGGCAUUUGCUAACAUAGGUGGCAAGCUCUGCCUUCAUGUUGGGCCACCAAUACCGUUGCUUGAUAUCCAAGUACAUUUUAUCAGAACCUGGAUGGAUGGAGUAUCGUGUCUUGUGGGCUUCAUUCAUGACUACUUCUUUGAAUCCUCCAAGCUUAGGGAUCCAAAUGCACUUCAUGAAGUAAUAGGCUCCAUCCUCCUUAACUUCAAAAUUCUUUUCCAUUCCGCGUAACGCUUCUCUUGUUCUAUUUUCCAUUUUAGCAUCGAGCUGGGCCGCUUUGAUUUGCAUGGCAGGUGGGAUUGAAUGGUUAUGGAGAGAGUUUUUACACGACGAUUUGAGUAUUCUUUCCUACUCAAGGCAUCAGCUACCACGUUAGCCUUUCCCGGAUGAUACUUGAUUUCGCACUCAUAAUCGUUUAGCAGUUUAACCCAUCUUCGUUGUCUCAUGUUCAACUCUUUUUGAUUUAAAAUGUGUUGGAGACUCUUGUGGUCAGUGAAAAUGGUGCACUUUGUACCGUAAAGGUAGUGCCUCCAAAUCUUCAAGGCGAAGACCACAGCUCCUAGUUCGAGAUCAUGGGUGGUAUAAUUCGCCUCAUGUGUCUUUAGUUGUCGAGACGCAUAAGCUAUCACCUUGCCACGUUGCAUAAGUAUGCAACCUAAACCCUGAUUCAACAUCGCAGUAAACUACGAAGUCCUCCAUUACCUCUAGUAGCAAUAGUACCUGUGCGAUGCAGAGUGCUUGCUUCAGAGUUUGGAACGCAACUUCUUGCUUAUUUGUCCAUUCAAAGGGUACGCCCUUUUGUGUAAGCAUUGUAAGUGGCUUGGCUAUCUUAGAGAAGUUCUGGAUGAACCUCCUGUAAUAGCCUGCGAGACUUAAAAUUGAUGAAUUUUUGUGGGUGUCAUUGGGAUCGCCCAUCCUUCAAUGGCUUUGACCUUGGAAGGAUCCAUAUGUAUCCCUUCUUGACUAACGACAUGACCCAAAAAGUUCACACUAUGGAGCCAGAACUCACACUUAGAGAGUUUUGCGUAUAGCUUUUCGGUUUCCAGGGUUUACAAGAUAUGUCGGAGAUGUUGGCCAUGCUCCUCUUAGCUUCGAGAAUAAACUAGAAUGCCGUCAAUGAAAACGAUGACAAAGUUGUCGAGGAAUGGUCGGCAGAUUCGAUUCAUUAGGUCCAUGAAUGCGGCAGGGGAAUUUGUUAAACCGAAGGGCAUUACGACAAAUUCAUAAUGUCCAUAACGAUUUCGGAAAGCGGUUUUAGGGAUAUCCUCUUCCCGAACUUUGAGUUGGUGGUAUCCGGAUCGCAUAUCUAUCUUAGAGAAGUAGCUUGCACCUUGGAGUUGGUCAAAUAGAUCGUCGAUUCGCGGAAGUGGAUAGUGAUUUUUGAUAGUGAGCUUAUUUAGUUCCCUGUAGUUAAUACACAUCCUAAAGGAACCGUCUUUCUUCUUAACAAAGAGAACCGGAGCUCCCCAAGGUGAGAAGUUGGGUCGGAUAAAUCCUUUGUUCAAGAGCUCACUAAGUUGGCUGGACAACUCUUGCAUCUCUGCAGGAGCCAAUCUAUAGGGCGAUUUGGCAAUGGGUGUAGCUCCUGGCACGAGAUCGAUUCGGAACUCGACUUGUCUUUCUGGGGGUAUCCCCGGAAGAUCUUUAGGAAAAACGUCUGGGAAAUUGCGAGCCACUACGAUGUCUCGAAUAUUGACCUCUUCUUUGGACUUAUCCACCACAUGAGCUAGAAACGUAAAAUCUUUCUUUCUUAGAUACUUUUGUGCCUUAAUGCACGAGAUAAGACGAAGGUUCAUGCUAGGUUUGUCUCCAUAUAUAAUUAGGGUUUCGUGAUUUGGAAGGUGAAGGCGAACGACCUUCUCGUGACACAUAAUUUCAGCAUGGUACCAAUCCAUGCCGAUCAUCACAUCAAAACUCCUAAUGGAAACAUGCAUUAGGUUUAUUUGAAAGACGUGUUGGUUUAAGGUUAGGGUGCAUCCGAUGUAGAUUUCCCCAGUAGAUUCUGUUUUCCCAUUAGCCAUUUCCACUGUAAAGGUUUCAUUAAGCUUCUGUGAUUGUUGUUUUAACAAUUGUUUAAAUCUAAUACUCAUGAAGCUUCAUUCUGCUCCAAUAUCAAAUAGGAUGCAUGCAUAACUGUGGUUUAGGAGGAACGUACCGGUGACAACAGCGGGGUCAUGAACCGCUUCUCCCUGACCCAUGGUCAACACUCUUCAUGUUCCUCCAUUCCCAAGGUUGUUGUUGUUAGGGCGGUUUCAAUGGAAAUGCCCAGUCUUUCCACAUCCAUAGCAGGUGUGGCUUGGUCCCGCAUUGUUGCCGCUGUUGUUGGUGUUGUUGUUGUUGUUGUUGUUGUUGUUUCCUUGCUGCUGGUUCUAGGAAGGAUAGGUCCUGCAAUAUUUUGCCGUGUGACCCUUUCGAUUGCAACUGGUACAAUGCAUCUCCCUGCAUUCGCCAUGGUGAUGGAGAUUGUACUUGUUUCACUUUGGGAGAUUCCCGGAAUACUGCCUAGGGGCACUUGGAGUAGCUGAGACUGGAGCAUGUGGUGUGGAGGGAACUUGGGUGGUUGCAACAUUGACUAUCAUUGUUUGUUUUUUCUUUGACGACUGUGAGCCUUGUUGCCCAUUUCUCUUGUUAUUCUUUCCUUUCUUGUUGUCACUCUCCUUCUGGCCUUCAGUUUUCCUUGGUUUCUCGCCCUUCUUGUUGUUGUGGUCGUAUAGUUUCUUGGCCAACCUCUUGGCACUAUCGAAGGUCUCAGGAUUUGCAGCUAUCACAUUUCCUUGAAUUGGGGAGGUUAAUCCCCAGAUGAAUCGUUCGAUUUUCUUUCCCUCUGAAGUAAUCAUGCCAGGACACAACAAUGACAGUUCACUAAACCUUGAUAUGUAUGCAUCAAAGUUGGAGUUUCGGAUAGUGAGGUUCCAUAACUCUUGCUCCAUCUUCUGAAUUUCGCCUCGCGGGCAGUAUUCGGCCAUCAACAUUUCUUUCAACUCCGCCCACAACAUGGAGUUGGCUACGGGGAGAGUCAUGGCUUCUACAUGUCCAUUCCACCAAGUGAGAGCUUGAUCAAUGAACGUGCAUGCGGCAAACUUCACCUUCAUCUCCUCGGGGCAUUCACAUAUCUCAAAUACCGAUUCCACUUUCUCUAUCCAUCUUUAUAGGGUUAUCAUUCCACCCGUGCCAUUAAAGGUCUGUGUCUUGGCGUUGGUGAAAUCUUUGUAAGAGCAUGUCUUGGUAGGUCCUUAAUUUAUUCCGUUGGUCGAACUUCCAGCCCCUUUUCCAUUGGCUCCACCAUUGUUCCCAUUGUUGAUCUGUGCUAGUGCCGUUGUGACUGCCACAAAUACCGCUGCUUGAAAUGCCGCUGAGUUGAUUUCUGGUGGGGUUGGCCCAGGGUUCCCACGAGCAGGAUGUUGUGGCAUUUUUCUGUCAUGGAGCAGAAAGAUGUUGAGCGCCUAGAAUUUUGUGAGUUCGUGGUCCUAUAUACUAGGUGUAUAGCAUGUGCUCAAGUAGUUUCAUAUAUUAACAUACAAUCAUGGUUAACAUAACACAUAGUAGAUAACAACAUCAUAAUAAAACACAUAUAUUUUUCCACUAAUAAUAUCCGUGCUUUGAUACAUUAAAAUUUACUCGAAAGAGCAUACAUAAGUAGUGCAUGUUCGGCAGUGUAACGGCUCUACGAGUAGUGUAACCACUUAAACGUAGAGUCGAUGAUACAUAGCAUAGAUCAUAUAAGCAUAAUACUAAAUAUAGGUACGACUAAUCCUAGCCAUGGUGGGAUGUGCCAGGGGUGGUGCUGAAGAAGUGGAUGCUCCCUGAAGGCGGGCCACAUGUCGGGCCUCCCACCUUACCUGUCUCAUAUGGAAUUCCCGGAGAACUUCUCGUGUCUCCUGCUCCACCCGUUUAACCCUGGUUCGCAUCUGGUGCAUCUGAUCAGCCGUGCUCUGAGCCAGAUCACCAGUAUCCCACAAUCGUCUCACCAAAACUGGAAGUGCACGAUCAGUCAAUCCUCCCUCCCUCAAGUCAUAAAACUCGCGCGCCAUGUCAAACGGGGGUGGCUGUUCCUGUUGCCUGCUCCACCUCCAAAUGUCGAUACCCCACGGGGUGUAGGGCCAGUCGGGCCCAUCCGGUGAGCAGGCACCCUAAUCGGGUCAGGGGGUUUGAUAACUUUGGACUCUGCGUCCGAAUCACCGUCAUCGUCAUCGUUGGGUUCCUCCUCGAGGUCUUCUUCGACUUCCUCUUCUUCCAGGUCCACCACUGGCUCAGCAGGUCCACCCUCGACUUCCGCCUCAGGUUCCUCCUCAGACUCCUCCUCGGGGUCUUCUUCAGGUUCCUCCUCCAACCAUCCGUUAUUUCCCUGAUUAGGGAAAUACGGAUCUCCGGGGUGAUGGAAGCCGGCCAUACUGUCUGUGUGAGUGUAUAAAUGUACUAUUAUUCCUAAUAUGUUUUACUUAUUAUGUAAAUUGAGUUGAUGUUUUAUUCUUGGAAAUCAAAGGGGUAUGUUUUUAGGUUCACCGAUCAUUGUGAUUUCCUCGGGGCAUGUGAUAGUUGUACUUAAGAGGAAAUGUAGUUUCAGGCUACAUUCACCCCUUAAUACCACUAUGAACAGUCCCGACUUGACCGAGAUGUCAGCAUCGUCUUAUUUGACUUGGUAUUCGGUUAUUUCUCCUAUAUCGUACAAGUAGAGGUGUUUUAUCGUUGUGUUUUAUUUGUUUUGUUUUGUUAAGAGUUGUUUUAGUCCCUCUUUGGUUUAUAGUUGCAUAUCAAUUUGUGGUUAGAUAUGUUAGUUCACUAUAAACAGAGCUCUGAUACCAACCUGUCACACCCCCGAACUAGACGGCGGAAACGUCUGAGGGCUCCAGUGACUUAAAUUGAAUAUCAUCACAAUGAAUAUACAUGAAUAAUAACAUAAACAUCAACAAGCAUCAAUAUAUUACAACUGACAUUGUUCACAUCAAGUACAUUGUUUAAACAUUACAUAUCCAUAACAUAAAUUGUUUGAUAGUUUUCAAAAGCAUAACACCCUAACGUACUUGGUGUUACUCCUCAGCUUACCUGUUACAUGAGAAUACAAGUUAUUUGGAUAACGUCAACAUAUGGAAUGUUGGUGAGUUCAUAAGUAUGGAUGUCAUGAAAAUUUUUUGUGUAGUUUAUAAACCCAGAAAAUCCGAUAUUUUCUGAAAAAGACAAUUGUUUAUACCAAAGUGUGAAGAUCCAUAGGUUUAUGCAUCAGUGAUUUCAAAGCGUGUAUAAACGAAAAGUUUUGCAUUAUAGUUAUUGAAAAGUACAAAUGAAUGGUGUUAAUUUCCUCGAAAAACCCAAUGUUUUCUGAUCAAAAAAUAUAAUUGUUUCAAAUUGUUAUACCGUCACAAUGAAUGAUUAUGAUUUUGAUGGGUUUUGAGCAUUCUAACACUUCCUAAGUGUACAUGCAACCCUAAUAACCUUGAAUCUAUGUUUUCUCUAUAUACAUGCAAAUUUCUUUUUCAAGGUUAUUUCCUAACUAGCAUGGCAUGGGGAAUAAAUAAAACAUAGAAAACUAGUAGAAAUACAUACCUUGUUGUUGCUUGGAUUCCUUCAAGACUUUGUGAGCCUAGCACCCCAAAUGUUGUGCCUCAAAUGCUUCACACAACACCACAAAACUUGGAAUAACUUGAGAGAAUACUUCUAGCACUCAAAAUCGGUUAUGCCCUCUCUAGUAACACUAGGUCCCGAUUUUGCUAUUCAAAGGGUUCCUUUGAUAAUGGUGUCAUAAUUAGGGUUUCAUUAAGAAGACCCAUAAUUGUCAUGACUCUUCAUUUCUCAUGACCCAUGGGUUUGUAACUCCCAUGGACUAUCCAUGGAGCUCCAAAUGGUUACAUCCAUAACCCAUAAACCAUGGAUCAUUAAUCCACCAUAAAAGAAUUGAUGAUUGUCAUAAUCAACCCUAUAUAUUUAAUUAGUCUCAUUUUGAUCACCAAAUUAAUACUAGAUUAAUACUUGAUCAAUACUAAUUAAAUAAUACUAUUAUUAAUAUAUUAGAACUUAUAAUAUAUUAAUAAUCAUAAGUGCCUUAUUCUCUCAUUUAGUCUAUCCAAGUAUUGCAAUGCCAUGCAACCCAAAUGGACCAUGCCGGGUCGGGUCAAGUACAUACCAAAUAACGUUAUGGACUUAGACACUAUAUCCAAUAGUCUCCCACUUGGAUAAGUCUAAUAACUAUAUUUGCAAAUAUGACUUCAAAAUUCGACUAGCAAUUGUAGCUCUUUCAAAGUCUCUCGGAACUGAGAUGAUGAUGAUGCACCAUUUAAGAUAAGUGAUCAUAUAAUCCUCUGCUCUCAUGAUAUCAGCCGGACAAACACAUGGAACAUGGUCUUACUUAUUGUCCAACAUUUGUUUCUCGAUCUCUGAUUUGUUUCGACAUAGAACUAAAUUGAACACAUCAAUUACGUUCUGACCGGGCCCGGUACAUAGGUCAAAACCAAAUCAUCAAGGGGCCCAGAUAUCGCUUCUAUUUCUAGAAGGAACAGAUAAAAUUUGACUGAUAUGCUUGUACUAACUACUUGUUGAAUUAUUCACAAAGGCAUGUUUUAUAACAUCGAGUUACCAAUGCGUUUUCGUACAAUCAAUGAAUAACCAACUCAUAGUCAACAACUCAUAUCUCUAGGUUUGCAGAUAUAUAUGAUAUUACCGUCUCACGAUCACUCGAGAUAAAUUCCAUGAAGUGAUGAGAGUGAGUGUGGGUUGAAUCCAAUACUCAGCCCUUAUGAGUAUUCAUGAAUGUUGCAGCAACCAUUGCAUUGUCUAAAGCACUUUAGACAAAUCAUACAAGCCAAAUUCAUGACAGUCUUGAUUCAUAUCUACUUCCAACAUAUGACUGACUGUGGAUGGUUUGAAUAAUACGAUAUAUACCAUAACAUAAUUAUUCUGGAAGUCAAAACAUGCAAAGUGAAACACAAGAAUAAUACUAAUCUUAUAUGGCCCCAACACUUUGAGUGUAAAUAAAACACCUUUUAUUUAAGCACCAUAUUGAUUACUCAUUAUUUAUGUUUUGAUUAAUCAACUUUAUGCUUGAAUUAAAACAUUAGUUGUCCCAUGCUCCAAGCAUGUACACUAUGGUUUUCCAAACAACAAUUAUGCCAUACUCCAAGUAUGCAUACUAUGUUUAAAUAUGGUCCUCUCUUUGUGAAAUAGAUCAAUUGACAAUAUUCCAAUGAUGCUCAUUUCACAAUUCCAAUCCUUGUUGUAAAUGCAAGAAUACCAAACUCUUGCCAUUUACUGUAAUCUGUUAGAUUCUAAACUUAUAUGCAAUGAUCCCCUUGUAAUGACUAUGCACAUAAGUCACAAAGACUUGGCUACAGACAUUACAAGAUAUUUCAAUGGAAAUCAAUUCCAUGAAGUCUCAAAUUCAAAGUACAUUCCUUUGAGCAUCCUUCUUGCAUUAAGUUCACUAAUCUUACACAGAUUCAAAAAGUAACUUCCACCUAUGGAAACAAUUCAAUAUUACCAUUUUGACCAUCACUUUUGAACAAGAGUUGCCUCUUUUCAAAAUAUGUCAAUAUGGUCCUAACUCUAUACUUCCAAUUGUCCAUGAGUAAACAACCUCAAACUGUCCUCGACAAUUGCUUAAUCAUUUUAGUCAUAUCCAGUUCUUAUCCCUUUUCCCUUCUUAAUGCCCUAAGCAUUAGGAAAAUUUAGAAUGGAUGAAUAUUAUAGUACAUGCAAUCGAUCCUAUAUCCGAAGCAUAUGGGACACGAUUCAUGCUAUAAAAUUUUUAUUUGCCAUGUUCUCAUAAUUCGAACAAUGAAGAGGUAUGCCGUAAUCAUAAUCGAAUUUUGAGAACGCAACAUAUAUAGAAAUUCCUUAUGUUGAACAAUUCCAACAUAACAUUCAUAUAUAUCCUUGACUAAAGUUGAUAAAACUCAGUCUAAGCUGGUAGAAUUGGAACGAAGUAUAAAAUCCUCUCCCUUAAUUAUAGCAAACAACUUUUCAAAGCAAAUUGAAACUUUUGUUUUCUAUAAUUAACAUUGCUAACUUGCAAUAUUUAACAUAAUCAUCAUGCUCCCACUAGCAUAAUGAUUACCAGCAUAACACUUUAUGCUCCCACUAGUUUUGACAUGUACUCAAAAAUCAACUGGACUUCAAGAAAUCAAUACUUUAUUGAUUUUCUUACCAAAGUUCAUAUUUAUGAUACUAGAUUGCUUUGAUAAGACUUUAUAAAAAACAUACACCUUUCCUUAGAUAGCUCACAUGUUUGUCUAGACCUUUUGCAAUUCUCACUAGUUAGUGUGCCGGUUAACCACACCUGCUCCACUAACUAUAUGAGAAUGCAAAUAUCACAACCGCUAUCUACUUAAAAUCUUCUUAGUGGAAGCGUUUCCUCACCAUCAUUUUCAUGAAUCGAAGAGAAACCUUAUGAUACUUAGAUUUUAUGGUUUAUGUGUUCUUUUCCAUGUGAAUUUUGUCAAAACCAUAAUCACAGGACUAGGUUAGUGACACUUCCAAAUUUAUAUGGACUGAACUUGUGCAAUCUUAAUUUCUUGCCACCCGGCAGCCCAAGGGCCUACCAUUGCUUCCAGGUUGUUAUGCAAACAGUCGAGAACUCUCAGAACUCCAAUGCAAAGCCAACCUUAACUGGGAUGAGCACAGAAUAUGUCAACACGAUAGGUUAAAAACCUCAAGUCGUGGGCUAGUGAUUAACAAAACUCUUGAUUAGUUCUUGAAACUAUUUCAGAAUCAUUUAGACCCCCACUGUCCUCUUGACAUAUAAGACUUCUCUUUGUCAAGAACCAUUCCUUGACAAUACAAAUAUUCAAGAGCUAGUGCGGAUUCUUAUCAAAUUAAACACUUUUCACUAUUGGUCUUAGCUGGUCUUUGUUUUAUCCAAAACAUCACAACUUACCAAUCUCAAAUGUACAAGAAUAGGAAGCAUCUUACUCUACAUUUGACAAGUGUUAUGAACCUUCUAAAGACUAUGUCACUCAAGUCACGAUCUUGGAGUAUAACUCCAGGAUUUGUUUUUGGCACGAAGUACGAAUUAUCUUUUGAUUUAACCAUUUCAACAAUUCACGAUUCCUCUCCUCAGGCAACAAACACACUAAGGUGUCCUUAGAGGAUCAAUUGUGAUAUGGUUCCAUAAUCACUAAGAUAGUCAUAAAACAAAAUACACAAGUACUUUCCCAUCUCUUCAGAUUGGAGAAACUUUUAUCUUUCUGUCUUAUUUGAUUCUUCUUAUUCAUUCUGCCAUACAUUGAAACUUUUCCAAUGUUUCAGAAUUACACUUAAACUCAUAAGCAUAACCAUAUUUACUAAACUUUAGUAAAUCAUAAUGAAUAAUCUUAUCAACCUUUGUGGUGGACCUGACUAGUGCACAACCUAAUGUACGCGAUCCUUUUAGUCCUUCGCUUAACUCACAUGUGAAUGUGAACAAGGAAUUAGUCUUACUUUACCAAAGAUAAAAAUCUCAUUCAUCACACAAUACAACUUGCAUGAUUCCAAGAUUCUGUCCAACUGAAACUUGGGUGAUGAGAAUCUUUCCUUAUUUGGUAAAUUAUGACACUACCACUAAUGAAAGAAUCAAAUCCGUUUACCCAUAUUGCUUAUCAUAGAAAACAUAUAAGCAACAACCUUUUUUCACAAAUGCCAUUGUAAGGAUACUUAAAAUAAAUAAAAUCAAAACCAUUUUUCUUUUAUUUUAAAACUUUGCGGAAAACUUAUCCUUACAAUCCAUAUGGAAAAGUUGUUGUUAUCUAUUCCUAAGCAAUAUAUCAUAACUCUUAAGUAACAGCUUAAAAUUUUGAUCACCGAACCAUGCGAUCGAAAUCCAUCUUCGCGAUUAGAAUCAACAUAUACUUCCUUUAAGUUUCUUUACUCUUCUUUGAUUCUUAAAACAUCAAUAUGUGACCCAGUCACAUCAUGCAAUAAGAAUCUUAGAAUAGAAACUUAAUAAAGUUAGAUAAUGGACUUUACCUAAAGCAGAGUCAAACAUUUGACUUUACCGUCCUUAUGGACUUUUAGGUAAAUUUGGCUUUGGCAACAGAAACCUAUGGACUCUUUGGAAAUGGUACACGGGACUAUCACAGACUUAGCCUUUCUCUUUACCUGAUGAGAUUAAAACUUAAUCUUGAAGAUCGAUUAGAUCUUAAACAGGUGAAUAAAUAUUUAAACAGUAAGAACGAAUGCAAAAUAAAGAACAACUCAACGAUGAAUCAAACGAGUCGAAUGAUUAUAAACAAAACCCUCAGAAGAGCUCGAUCAAGAACAUCAACUGUAGAGGGUUGGAGGUUUACAAGAACGAUAAAAAUAUAUCUGCAAUACUAUCGUGAUCGUUACUUCUUGAUUGUUAACCUAAUAUGCAUGCAAGCAUAUCUUUAUAUAAUAAACCUAGCAAACUCACGGUUGGACAGGCCCAAUACCGGAGUACAAAAUAAAUGGACUAACAGCCGAGCCCAAUGACGCAAUCUUCAAACGAGUCUUCAACUCAACAAUCUCCCCCUUUGCGUCAAUUGGAGCGAGAUCUUCACUUUUUACUUGGGCCAGCAGCAGCACCGGGUACCUUCUUCUUCACGGUCUCAAACAGACGAGAUAUCAGAGCAAGUAUCGUUUGCCUGAAUCUGAUGUACCAUUGGAUCAUGUCGUUGAAGUACUUUACAUUAGGGAUGAGCAACGGGCCAAACCCGGACCGGACCGGCCCGAAGACCGAAAACCCGAAGACCGAAAAUCAUGAAUUACCUUGCCCGAAAACCGGACCAUUUUUGCGUGUACCGGGUCCGGGUUCGGUCCGGUCCGGUUCACGAUAUUAAACCGGGUUUCGGGUUUUGGACCGAAUUAUACUUUUGCAGUUUUGUUUACGGUUUCGAGUUUUGUUUGUAUCUUUGUUGUUUAUGGUUUCGGGUUUAUUUGUAAUAUUACUCUCUAGUCUCUAUCAUACUAUUUCAAGUUAUAAUCUUACUACGUAAUAUCCAUCAUUCGUAUUUUUGUUGUUUGCACAAUUGGAAAAAAAAAUACAUAAUUGAAGAUGAAUGUAAAUCUAAUAAGUAGCAAACCAAAAUUACCAAAAUAUUAUUGUACCAAAAUAAUAAUAACCAAACUAAUAAUAAUCAUGUACUAAACCAAAUUACCAUUAUACGAAAACAAACAAUUUAUGAAAAAAACAAUUAAACUUCAAUCGGCUUCUUUCCAUUCCCUCUGUCUUCUUUUUCCUCCAUCGCCGCUUCAAUCUCUAUAUAAUUAACACCAAAGCAUAGUGAGCAUCUAAAUUUUUUAACAAACAACAAAUAAAUAAAAUAUGAUUUAAAUUUACUACCCAACGCUAUGCCAUCAUCCUUCAAUAUGUCUUCAUCAUCAUCUAUAAUGGGUUUGCGUGAUUUUCUUACCCAAUCUUGGGUACAUACUAAAGCUUCAACAAUCGGCGUAUUCAAACGUGUUCUAUACUCAUCUAGAAUUCGACCGCAAGUACUAAAAACGGAUUCCGACGCCACGGUCGUCACUUGUAUGGACAAAAUAUCUAACAACAAGCAAUCAUAAAAUUAUAAAUAUAAUAAUUUAUAACUUAACUAAAAAAACAAAGAUAAAUAAUAGAAUUACCUUUUGCCAUACGAGCGACUAUCGGAAAACGCAAUGCAUUUUUUUUCCACCAAUCUAGGAUGUCAAAAUUUUUAUCAAAAGUCACUCUAGGUUCAUUUAAAUAUCUUCUCAAUUCGUUUUCAACUGUCGCCGACGUGUCUCCUUGUCCCAUCAAGAAAGCGUCCAAAAAAUCGUUACCCACAUCACAACUUACAACUUCUUUUACUUUCUGAGACGAACCUACAUUUGCAUAUUUUUCUUCAUAGGUUUUAAAUAAAUUUUCCAUUCUUUUUUCAAUUUCCCGCACCGUAGACAUUGUAUUCAAUUUUAUGGUGCUUUCCAACAAUAUGUUUUCUUCCGUUCUCGUGUUUUCGAUCAUCUUCUUGAUGAUAGCUGACAAAAAGAUGGACUUCAUUUGGGGGUCCAAUAAUACGGCAAAACACGUGAAAUCAUUCAAAUUUUCUAUUGAACCCCAAUACUUGUUGUAUUUGGCACGCAUGUCGGGGAUCAUAUGGCAAAGAUGCACUUUUGUUGAACACGUUUCUAGAUGUUGGUCAACAUCUAUAAUUUCCCGUAAAACAGUUUGUACCAACGGUUUUGAUGAAGCCGACAACAUCUACGUUUUUGUUUUGAACUUUUCAAGAAACAUUAUAACCUCUUCUAUCACUUCGAAAUCGGUACGCUGCGGGACUCUACUUAGAUCACGUGCAAAUGAGGUGUCUACAAAAAAAUACAACAAAAAAAUAGCAAUUUUAAUAAAAAAAUUGCUAAGAGCUUUUAUUUGUAAAAAAUAACAACAAAAAAAAACAUUUUUACCUUUAACUUCAUAUUCAAAAAAAGCAUAUUUUAAGUUCAAAGCGCUCUUCAACAACUCAAAUGUCGAAUUCCACCUCGUUGGACACUCUCCACAUAAAAACUUAUCCCCUUCUAAGUCGGAAUCCUUCAUACAUUUUUUAAACUUCCUAAUUCUAGCGGUUGAAUGUCUAAUGUAUUUCACCGCUCUUUGAACACAUGACACGUGACUAUUGUGAUAUUUUAACCCAUCUUUCACAAUUAAGUUCAAAAUAUGAGCCACACAUCUAACGUGAAAAUGUUUUCCACCUUCAUACAAGUUGGGAAGUUUUUUGGUCAAGAAUUCCAAUGCUUUGUCAUUUGUAGUGGCAUUGUCCACACUUAUAGUCAUCACAUUUUUUAUCCCCCACUCAUGUAUGCAUUCAAGUAACAAACGUCCCACGUCUUCUCCCACAUGAGUAUCUAUUGGUCUAAAAUUUAAAAUCCUUUUAUGCAUGACCCAAUCGUCAUCUAUGAAGUGCCCCGUAACAACCAUGUAAUUCGUUUUUUGACACGAUGAAGUCCAACUAUCGGUUGUUAAGUGUAUCAUGUUGUGUGGAUUGGCAAAGAAAGUUAACAACUUCUUCCUUUCUUCAACAUAAAACUUGGCAACAUCACGGCUAAUUUUAUGCCUAGAUGGUAUUUUGACUUUCCCGUUUAGAGCAUUUGUGUACUCUAUAAAAGCUUCAUUUUCCACAAAUUUAAACGGGAGUUCACCUACAACAAAUAGGUUUAGCAUAGCUUUUUUAAUCCUGUCUUCAUCGUGUUUCCAUACGGUGACAGUACUACCAUCCCCAAAAGGUUGUUUUUUAAAUUGUAUAGUAUUUUGCCCUUUAAUAUUAUCCAGAUUUUGUUUGCAUUUUCUUGCAUGUCUAAGUAAGCUAGAAGUUCCAUUUGUGUUUACAUCGGAAUUAAAGACUUUAAAGCAAUGUUUACACAUAGAUUUAUUGGUUUUCUUUCCAUCUUCGUCCAUAACCACUUCCAUUGAAUCCCAACAUUUUGACCUUUUUUUUGUGGUGCCCGUUUUCUUUUAUUUUCUUUCUUUGGCAAUGCGGUGUUAUCUUCAAUAUUUAUGUCUCCUUUGUCAGUAUCAACAUCAUCAUCAUCAAUAAUAUGUGGGGUGUUAUCAACAAAGACAUCAUCAUCCUACAAUACAAUAAAAAUACAAUAAAGUAAAAACAAUUACUUAGUUAAUAAUAUGUGGGGUGUUAUAUAAUCUUAACAAACAACAAAUACAGUAACAAUUGCCAUAUUAUAUAAAUAGUUAAUAAUAAAAAAAAUCUCAAAAGUAGAAAUUAAAUAAUAAAAAAAACUCAAAUCCCAAAUCUUAAAAGUUGAAUCCAGGAAGAAAGUUGAAUCCUCAUUAAGAGGAGAUGAAGUCUUAGAUGAUCAGAAAUAUAAAAUCAAAACCAAGACUAAUUAACAGCAUCAGGCGGAACUUGCUGCAACUACAUCUUUUCAAACUUAUUAACUUGGAUUGAAGUAAGUUGGAUGUUUGAUUACCAUAAUGCAACACGUAUAUAUAAUACCUAAUAGGCUAAUACACCAUUAACUAAUACUCACCCCAUACUACAUUAUCUUAUUACAAUACCCAUACUCUAAAUCUAAUAUAUUAAUACAACAUCAUAUGAAACCCAUACUAUUGGCUGGUAAUUAGUUCCACCACAUGGGGCAUUCAUCGUACGUGUAGCUUGUGUAUGCCGUAAUAAAUGCAAUGUAACACUAUUUGGCAAGACAGAGUCCACAUGGGGCAAUCACGUACCCAUGAUUAAAACAUAAUAGAAAAACGACCCACGGUUAAAACUUACAUUACGAGUUUACGACAUCAAACAUAAAAAAUAUUUAGACUUACUUGACUUUGAUUAUCUUCCAUGGAACCAACCCAAUUUUCAAUAACCAUUGUAGAGGAGAGGAAGUAUUAGAGAUCAAGAGGGAAGAAAGCAUCGAUUGACACUAAGAACGAACUCAAAGAAAUCAAGCCGUCGAUAGGGUUUCUUGUAUCGGCUUCAAUUGUUUUUUUUUGUACACUCAAAAAAGGAAUUAAGGAAAUAGUAUUAUUAACUUAUUAAUAAGGUUUGAUUUCCGGUCCGGUCCGGGUUUACAAUUUUAUUCCGGGUCCGGUCCGGUCCAAACCCGAAACCUGGUUUUAGUAAAAAACAAAACCCGAAAACCGGUCCACCUAUAAGAAUAUCCGGUCCGGUCCGGGUCCGGUCCUGGGUUUUUUCCGGUCCGGUCCGGUCCAACGGGUUAUAUGAUCAUCCCUACUUGACAUCGUCUGCUGCAUUCCCCUUACACCUUCGGAUGAUUGACAAAACAUGCUCAAGGCAAGUAUUGGUGUAAAGAUGCUUAUCCGCCAAAGCAAAGAGACAUUUCUGUCCUUCUGCUCUAGUAAACAUGACCGAAUUGGGUCUCGGAUCGAUCUUGCCCAUCUUCAUUUGAUUGAGAUCACUGGCCGAUCCCACAGAAGCUAUCUUCGGUUUCUUCUUGAAGACUGUGGCAAUCUCCUGAUCCAUAAGGGCAGCCUCCAUGAUGUAACAAACAAUCAUCCUCUUGAGAUGGUCUAUAAUAGGACCAUAUUCUGCUUCGUUCGUCAAGAGGAUGUUGUGCAAAACAAUCCAAUCAUGAGGGCUUAAGUUCGGUAAGUCUGCCAAAGAUAUAAGAUGUUCGGUUCUAGCAGACCCUCUUAUCACCUUGAACCGAACGUUGAUGAAUCUCCCUUCGGUAUAAGGCUUUAAGACCCGAACGUUCACGAUCUUCUGAGCGCUCCAUGUCUGAUAUUGUGGUUGAGCAGCUUUCAGAUAGAACUCGAUAAGCUCCCUAUCGACCUCAACGUUCGGAUGAGGGACUUCAAAAAUAUUGGAGAAGGCGUGGAAGAUAAACGCCUUUCGAGUCAACGGCAUAUCGAACUGCGAAUCGACAGAGUUAUUGCAGUCGAACGAUAUCACCGGUUCGAGCCAUAGGAUGCUAGGAGUGUCUAUGGCCUCCUUGAUCAUUCUCUCCCGAGUCCAAGCAGGGAAAAGAGUCUUCCUGCUCUCGAGGAGAUCGUGGGCUUCCUUCUGCUUGCGUUCGGCUUCUUCAGCCUCUCGCGCCACACGAAUAUUGCCGUCUUCCACAUUGCGACUGUUUUUGCGUUUAAGCAAGUCAGCAAUGGUUUCCUUGUCAUCUUCAUCUUCUUCCUCAGCUAUGUUCUUUCCUUUGUCCUUCACACCCGAACCCGAAGCUUGACCAGUCGGAGGUGUUUCGGUAGUGUGAACAGCUGUUGAGGAAGGAGGUGGUUUCGAUCCGGACUUCUUCCCUUCUCCCCCUUGUUUCGGAUUGGACACGAAACUGGGUAAACCUUCGAUUUUGCUAAGAAGGUCCAUGGCGGGAGUAAGUUUCUCAGCAAGGGUGCGCCUCACCGAGUGAUUGAGAAUGGGAUCGUGUGCUUCCAGGAUGUUAGAUAGGGCAGCGUGUACAUCCGAAACACAAGUUUUUAUAACCUUCCGUUCGGAUCGAAGAGCUUCAAGCUGUUGCUGAUAGUUUGAAAUCUGAGUGCUCUUGAACUUAAGGGUGGUGGUUUUGCUCGCUAAAACGUCCAUUAACGAAUUUUCUGCUGCGAGAUCUUCCUGAAGCUUAGUGAGGCGCUCGUCAAUGGAGGCACGAAGGGCCGAGUUGUCAUCGCUGAUGGAUUGGCGUAAUGUAGCGAAUGACUAUAACUCCGUUGAGACGAACUUGGCCAAUUGCUGAACGAUUGGUUCCAAAGUUGUCUUGGUGGCAUCAGCGCUCUCCUGUAAGGACUUCAACAGGGAAGAGGCGUCUGAGAAUAGUUUAUCGACUUUUGCGGUCGCAGCCUCACAGGCUUUUGUGGAGGCGUCUAUAGCGGCUGUGGCUGAAGCAACAGAAUCAUGCUGAGCCCUGGAGAAGGCGUCAACAAUCUUCUGAAGAGCGGCUUCAGAGAGAGAGGACUGAGAGUUGGUGGAUGACGCAAGAAGUAAGUCAACCUUCUCGUUUAGCUCGUUGAGAUGCUUCUUUGUCACUGGAGCAUCGUCCUCAUCGUCCCUUAGAACCUGAAACAGACUAAAGUAGACCGAAUCGAAGGUCAUGUUGUCACCGCCAAGAAAUGGGUUAUCUCCAUCAGAGGCAUGAUCUGGAGAUGGUGGGUUUGGUGAAGCUGGGGGUGUUGUGGUGUAGGUAGGUUCAGGUUGAGUGUUUGUGGGUGGGGUUUCGGGUGGUGGUUGAGUACGGGUAGGUUCGGUUGUAUGCUGGGUUUCGGUUUGAGGUGGUUCGGUUACAGGAAGGGUUGCGGUUGCACUGGUAUGAACCCCCGUAUCAGAUACGUUGGUUGUAACCUUUGCAGUUGUGGUAGUUGUAUCGGUGAAAAUGGGUGGUGGUAUAGGGAAAGAGGUUUUAGGUAGGGUGGUGGCGGGUUUUAUGGUGGGAAUGGAAGUAGGGAUGGUUGGAGGAGGUGAAGGAACUGGUGAAACAUGAAUUUCCAUGUCUGGGGUAGGUGAUCGGGUGGGGUGUUGCCUCUGGUAGGGGUUUCGCCUCUUUGAGAGCCGUCCGAACCCGAACUCUCGUUUUCUGAGUCACUCGAAGAGGAAGCGAUUACAAGCUUUCGCUUCGGUUGAGUCUUCCUUCUCUUCGGUUGCGGGGACUGUGCCGGUUUGGGUUGUUUCCUCUUCCUGGGAGAAGGACCUUUAGGAGCCUUGGUCACUUGCUUCCCUUUUUCCGCCUUUUUGCCCCUAUUGACAGGUUUUUCAGCGUCAUGGAUUGACUUGAGCAUUUCCUGUGUUAGAACCCUAGGACCAGACGCCUUGAAUUCCUUUAUCGUCCGGAUGAUUCUGCUGUCGGACGGAACAUCGCUGUACAUUGUCUCCGGAAUAGAGCCAAUGAACGAGAACUUAGAUGCAUCAGAGACGAUGAUCUUCGUGGUAUGAAAAGUACCGAUCGAAGACAUCGAUGCACCUGCAGUAGUGGGAAUGUCGAAUUUGUCCAUCGCCCACUUUAUGAUAAUUGUCCAGAACCGGGCGUACGACACCUCAGAGUGUCGUGAAGAGGAAGAAAGGCUCUGGAAGAGCUGUUGCCAGAUGACCAACCCAAAGUCUAGAUUGACUCCGUUGUAAACAGCAUACAUAAUCGACAGGAACAGUCGACUUGAACCAUCGGAUCCUGAGCUCCGUUCAGAUAAGCCCUUGAAGAGGACUGUAAACAUGCCGUUCCAUUGUGGCGGCAAGCAGGACUUCUUAAACUUUGCGACGGAGGGGAACGCCUCCGUGUACCCCAUGUUGUAAAACAUGUUGUAGAGAUGCCCAGUCGGAAUCGACUCCGGAUGAACUCGUGAAGAAUCAGCAGCCAACCCUAGCAGUGUACCAAAUCGUUGGCGAGAAAUGGAGGUCUUGUGAUCAGCAACCUCGAAGAAUACCCGCUCGACUGCUUUGUCGUAAUGAGCAGUCGCAUACACCUGCGAAAGAAUCUCCAUGGGCACAGAUUCAACCUUAGUGAGUGCAGGAGCGAUCUGAGAGUACUUCAAGCACUCGAUGAUCGGCGUCAUAUAAGAAUCAUACAACGAAGGAGUGAGGUCUAUCACCAAGCAUUGUUGUGGACGGAUGGGAAGGAUGUGUGAGGUAGCAUGGACUGAGGAUGAUUCUGCCAUUGUUGAAGGUAGAAGAAGAAGAUGAACAGUGAAGCUUUUAGGAGUGUUUGCUCUCUUGGAAAUUCGGGAUGCAGUAAAGAGGUAAAUGAGAGUAGAGACUGCCUUUUAUAGUGGGGGAAAGGAGAGAGAAAAAUCAUUUCAAAUCUUAUAUGUGUGACAGUUAAGGCAGGCGAUGAUCACGUAGGAGAGAGAGUGUCAGAUUCCUAGGAUCACGCCGCCCAACAAGCGCCGUUUCAAAAUAAACUGGUUCAAAUCCUCACGCGCCUUUAAGGGCCAGAGAGGUGUCGCUUGAAAUUCGCACACGCGUCCAUGAUGUCAGUAAAAGUGUGGACGUUCCAAAUUCACACGCGUUCCCUUUUUACCGUCGUUUGAAAUUCAAUCCUUUUAACUCCCGCCUGAGUCAGCAACUUUUUGUCUUAUCUUGUAAAUGUCAUCUUUUAAAUAAAUACCCACGUGGAUGAUUUUUGACCACAGCUUGAUAAUUAACCACCAAAGCAAUAAUACAGCCUGUAAUUAUUAGUAACGGAAUAUUGGAAACUCAAAGAUUUUUGUGCAAAGAGUGUAAAAAGAAAAGAAAUAAAGCAAUUCUUUUUAGGAAUGACUGUGAUGUCAAUAAUGACACAAAACAAAUGAUCCCGGGCACGAAUCUCUUCCUUCGAGAUCAAGAGAGACCUCAAAGUGUUAAUGUGGUUUCCCGUUGAAUGACGAUCAAAUAUUUAUUAAUAAAUAUUGAAAGGUUUCUUUUAAUAAGGCUACUUAAGGGUGGUUUUCGCUUUGAUUCAACAAUUCUAAUCUUGAAAUAAGAAAGAAAGUGAACAAAGUACUUGUGAGACCGGUGUAGUCUGUUGAACAAGUAGGUAGGAAUUAAGUUUAAAUAUCUUGGAAAAAAUAUAAAAUCUCAACAAAAAAUAAAAACUGGAUCCCAAGGGAAGAAAUGUUAUGGUGUUUAACAAUUUCAUAGGAAUCACACAAAAAUAAAAAAUUUGAGAUUUUAGUAGGAUACAUCCGUCAAUUCAUUGGUGAAAACUUGAGCAAAUUUAGUGUUCACCGUCAAUUCAGAUUUGGUGUUCAAUAUUGGGUUUCACUCAGCUCGUAGUGGUACGAAACUGAGAUCAUAAACACAGUUGUUGUAUAACCAUAAACCUCAGUGGUAAUGUCUGAGAGUCUCAAGGGUUACGUUGAUGAAACGAAUGUAAUGGAGAAAUGUAAUGGAGAUGGUGUAAGAAAUUAAAGUACCUCUGCUGCGAAAAUAAGGACCAAGCAGAACAACUCUUAUCUCAUGUGAGAAGAGAGUGAGGUAGCUCACGAUCAGAAUAAAUAUGAUAGCCUAAUUGGGAAGACAAGGUUUGUUUAUACCAAGUCAUUAAGGCUAUUAUUCAAAAUCUUAUGAGGCUUGGGACACAUACAGCAACAUGCUUCUAGGGACACUUAAGUAAUCCAACAAUUAUAUCCCCAUAAACGAACAAGCACACAAACAAAAUUAAAAGAGAAAAAUAUUUUUGGUGUUUUUGAUAUAUAUUAAAAAAAAUAAAAUUAAAAAAAUAAG